GAUGAACGCUGGCGGCGUGCCUAAUACAUGCAAGUCGAGCGAACAGACGAGGAGCUUGCUCCUCUGACGUUAGCGGCGGACGGGUGAGUAACACGUGGAUAACCUACCUAUAAGACUGGGAUAACUUCGGGAAACCGGAGCUAAUACCGGAUAAUAUAUUGAACCGCAUGGUUCAAUAGUGAAAGACGGUUUUGCUGUCACUUAUAGUUGGAUCCGCGCCGCAUUAGCUAGUUGGUAAGGUAACGGCUUACCACGGCAACGAUGCGUAGCCGACCUGAGAGGGUGAUCGGCCACACUGGAACUGAGACACGGUCCAGACUCCUACGGGAGGCAGCAGUAGGGAAUCUUCCGCAAUGGGCGAAAGCCUGACGGAGCAACGCCGCGUGAGUGAUGAAGGUCUUCGGAUCGUAAAACUCUGUUAUUAGGGAAGAACAAAUGUGUAAGUAACUAUGCACGUCUUGACGGUACCUAAUCAGAAAGCCACGGCUAACUACGUG
RNAcentral lists this ribosomal RNA (497 nucleotides) under uncultured bacterium. Its description in RNAcentral is "partial 16S ribosomal RNA". It matches the Rfam family "Bacterial small subunit ribosomal RNA", at positions 28 to 507 of the family's 1533-position model. The record is from RNAcentral.